GAUGAAGAACGCAGCGAAAUGCGAUAAUUAAUGUGAAUUGCAGAAUUCCGUGAAUCAUCGAGUCUUUGAACGCACAUUGCGCCUCAUGGCAUUCCGUGAGGCAUGCCCAUCUCAGCGUUAGAAAAUAUUCUCAAAUUUUAGUUUUGUGCUAAAAUUUGGAUCAUGUCAAAGAAGCUAUUACUAUUAUUGUGAUCGCUCUUUGGAAAUUGAUAGGUCUUUGAGUUGCUACUCAUAGAACGUGAUGAAUCUUUCUUCGUUCUAUUGUAAUUCACUCUGGUAGUCCUAAAACUUGUAUGCCUGUAGUAUAUCUUGUAAUUUGACCUGAGAUUGGGUAGGGAUACCCGCUGAACUUAAGCAUAUCAAUAAGCGGAGGA
RNAcentral lists this unclassified non-coding RNA (374 nucleotides) under soil metagenome. Its description in RNAcentral is "partial contains internal transcribed spacer 2 and large subunit ribosomal RNA". The stretch from base 1 to 120 matches the Rfam family "5.8S ribosomal RNA", at positions 35 to 154 of the family's 154-position model. The record is from RNAcentral.